Molecule: ribosomal RNA, 484 nt
Filed under: uncultured bacterium
Lineage: Bacteria
Description: partial 16S ribosomal RNA
Rfam family: Bacterial small subunit ribosomal RNA
Source: RNAcentral
AGUGUACGCUGGCGGCGUGCUUAACACAUGCAAGUCGAACGAGAACGGGUUAUAGCUUGCUAUAAUUGUCAGCUAAGUGGCGCACGGGUGAGUAAUGUAUAGGUAAUAUGCCUCUUACUAAGGGAUAACAAAUGGAAACGUUUGCUAAUACCUUAUACUCCUUAUUAACAGAAGUUAAUAAGGGAAAGAUUUAUUGGUAAGAGAUUAGCCUGUAUUGUAUCAGUUAGUUGGUGGGGUAAUGGCUUACCAAGACUAUGACACAUAACUGGUUUGAGAGGAUGAUCAGUCACACUGGAACUGUGACACGGUCCAGACUCCUACGGGAGGCAGCAGUGGGGAAUAUUGCACAAUGGACGAAAGUCUGAUGCAGCAACGCCGCGUGGAGGAUGACACAUUUCGGUGCGUAAACUCCUUUUAUAUGAGAAGAUGAUGACGGUAUUAUAUGAAUAAGCACCGGCUAACUCCGUGCCAGCCGCCGCCGUAA